GGCACAGUGGUAGAGUGGUUAAUACGUGAGACUCGAAUUCCGCCGGAGCGGGCCAUCCAACCCGCUUUCGGUUAGCCUAGACCAUCUCAUGCCUUCGGGCGCGUAGGUUCGAAUCCUGCCUGUGUCG
Paracoccidioides brasiliensis is the source of this 127-nucleotide transfer RNA. It matches the Rfam family "tRNA". Rfam says of the family: Transfer RNA (tRNA) molecules are approximately 80 nucleotides in length. Their secondary structure includes four short double-helical elements and three loops (D, anti-codon, and T loops). The record is from Rfam. Lineage: Eukaryota; Fungi; Ascomycota; Eurotiomycetes; Onygenales; Ajellomycetaceae.